This 447-nucleotide ribosomal RNA is filed under the name uncultured bacterium. RNAcentral describes it as "bacterial SSU rRNA". It matches the Rfam family "Bacterial small subunit ribosomal RNA", at positions 328 to 792 of the family's 1533-position model. The record is from RNAcentral.
CAGCCAGACUCCUACGGGAGGCAGCAGUAGGGAAUCUUUCACAAUGGGCGAAAGCCUGAUGGAGCAACGCCGCGUGCAGGAUGAAGGCCUUCGGGUUGUAAACUGCUUUUAUAAGCGAGAAAUAUGAUGGUAACUUAUGAAUAAGGAUCGGCUAACUACGUGCCAGCAGCCGCGGUAAUACGUAGGGAGCAAGCGUUGUCCGGAAUUACUGGGUGUAAAGGGAGCGUAGGCGGGAAUGCAAGUUGGAAGUGAAAGGUAUGGGCUCAACCCAUGAACUGCUUUCAAAACUGUAUUUCUUGAGUGAAGUAGAGGCAGGCGGAAUUCCUAGUGUAGCGGUGAAAUGCGUAGAUAUUAGGAGGAACACCAGUGGCGAAGGCGGCCUGCUGGGCUUUAACUGACGCUGAGGCUCGAAAGCGUGGGUAGCAAACAGGAUUAGAUACCCGAGUA